Long non-coding RNA from Cloeon dipterum, 557 nucleotides. RefSeq lists it as uncharacterized. Lineage: Eukaryota; Metazoa; Arthropoda; Insecta; Ephemeroptera; Baetidae. The transcript has 3 exons. The record is from RefSeq and is a predicted model, not a curated record.
GCAACUUUGGCUGGAGUUGCUGCAAGUUGCACCAACGAAAAACCAGGAAGAAAAAGAAAUAUAUUCAUGUUUGUGUCAUGUCAAUGGCGUGCGAUGAAUGCUUAUUAAUUCCCGAUUUUCGCUCAUCUAUUUCGUAUUUCGACUUAGUCGGUCUAUCCACGAUCCUUUUUCCAGCGAAAAUCAAGCAGCAGGCAUCCUUCUCCGUCGUAAAAUGUGGUGCGACAAAAUUGAAUCUGCCAAGGAUUUUGCGAUCGCGUUUUGUGGAAGCCUCUGAAUUAUAGGAUUUUGAAGUUCAAAUUCUCACCUGCACGGAUAGGGCGAACAAAUUUGGUGCCCCUUAAGAUGAAUGAAAUUGUUUGGUAUUAUGAGAAAACGCGUUCACCGGAUUGUCUUCAAUGUGGACAGACAACUGCUAAACUUAAGCCGCUUACACAGGCCAGGAGAGGCUCAACUAUAUGUCUACGGUGCAACACAGAAUCCUGAAUAAGGCAACCUGAACUGAGCGUCAGCUUUCAGCGGCCUUCCUUCCGCAGGGUCGUUCUCGCUGCAAAAGUCAA